Meleagris gallopavo (turkey) is the source of this 516-nucleotide non-coding RNA. The record is from RefSeq and is a predicted model, not a curated record. Lineage: Eukaryota; Metazoa; Chordata; Aves; Galliformes; Phasianidae.
UAAGAGACUCCUGCUGGCAUACAGAAGGAUUGAAAUCGCUGCAGAUUAUGGCCCUAUUUAUCAUAGUUGUAUGAAUAGUCUUGUUAAGGGAAUGCAUGACAUAUAAAUUUAGAGCGCGCAUGAUAGAAAUGUAACGCGCACAUCGCAAAGGAGAUGGUGUUACAGCGGGUAUUUGUGCCUCCUGCCAAAGACCUUUGCAAUGGGAGUGUUAAGAUGCCUCCAAACUUAAAGACUUUAAACAGUAACUGAGUGGGGUAAUCGGAUGGACUGCUUUGAAGGAGGGGCUGUGGUAGCACAGUGGCUGAGAGUCUGAUCCUGCAUCUGUGUCCUCUGAAGACCUGGCUCCUUACAUCAGGCUCAGUAGUCCUGCAGCAUCACCCUCCCAGAUUACUCAGCUUCAAUUCAUCCUCAGCGAUCGACCAUCCUGCAUCUUAAAGGAAGCAACAGUCCUCCAGGGAGAAAAAAACAUACGUGAACGUAUAAUGAAAGCAUGUUUCAUAAUAAAUAAGUACCAGG